Gorilla gorilla gorilla (western lowland gorilla) is the source of this 571-nucleotide long non-coding RNA. RefSeq lists it as uncharacterized. The record is from RefSeq and is a predicted model, not a curated record. The transcript is spliced from 3 exons. NCBI's taxonomy places the organism in Eukaryota, Metazoa, Chordata, Mammalia, Primates, Hominidae.
AUUACCACCCACCAGGUCCCUCCCACAACAUGUGGAUUUGCGUGUGAACACAGACAAGCCAUAUCGCCAUUUAAUCUGUGGAAUGAUUCUGUGAGAUAUGGAACCUGGGGACCAGUGGGGCAAAGAAGAAUUAACAGCACCUACGUAGCUCUGAUUAUGUCAAGCACUUCGUCUAAAUGUUUGCACAGAUGAACUAAUUUAAGCCCCAGAACAACUCCGUGAGUAACCUUAACAUCUGGACGCAGACAGCCCCAGCAAUCCUGGAAGAAACCUUGGAAAUAUGCGGGUCAUCUUCUAUGAAGUCCACAGCAGCCCUGAGAAACCAAUACAGCAUUCCAAUCUUUAAAAGAAGGUACAAGGGGGUGACCACCAUUGAAACUGAAAGCUGAUUACAUUUCAGGAAAUAGAAAAUUCAAUCCCAUCACCAAAGAAGGCCCCUGCCAGGGAUUCUUCCAGCAGAGGGGCAGGCAAGGAGACCUAGUGCUAAUGUGGAGGUUUGUACUUCCCCAAAAGUCUGGUUGUUGGGAGCUUCAAUGAACUUACGUGUGAUGACACAAGGCCACAUGGGUUA